RNAcentral lists this ribosomal RNA (467 nucleotides) under uncultured bacterium. RNAcentral's name for it is "partial 16S ribosomal RNA". It matches the Rfam family "Bacterial small subunit ribosomal RNA", at positions 28 to 507 of the family's 1533-position model. The record is from RNAcentral.
GACGAACGCUGGCGGCGUGCUUAACACAUGCAAGUCGAACGGAAAGGCCUCUUUCGGGGGGUACUCGAGUGGCGAACGGGUGAGUAACACGUGAGUAACCUGCCCUUGACUUUGGGAUAACUUCAGGAAACUGGGGCUAAUACCGGAUAGGAGCUCCUGCUGCAUGGUGGGGGUUGGAAAGUUUCGGCGGUUGGGGAUGGACUCGCGGCUUAUCAGCUUGUUGGUGGGGUAGUGGCUUACCAAGGCUUUGACGGGUAGCCGGCCUGAGAGGGUGACCGGCCACAUUGGGACUGAGAUACGGCCCAGACUCCUACGGGAGGCAGCAGGGGGGAAUAUUGCACAAUGGGUGGAGGCCUGAUGCAGCAACGCCGUGUGCGGGAUGACGGCCUUCGGGUUGUAAACCGCUUUCGCUCAUGACGAAGCUUUGUGUGACGGUAGUGGGUAAAGAAGCACCGGCUAACUACGUG